UUAAAAGGCCCUCUUUUUGCAAAAAUAAAGUUCCUUAUGUAAGAAAGGAAAGAAGACAAACCCUCACAUUUAAAAAAAAAAAUCAUCUUCUUCAUUUUUGCUCUUCAUUUUUUGGGGUUGGACAUCUUAUCACCAUUGGAUGAGAUUUUGAAGCUUUGAAGUGAUUCUUGGACACUUGGUGGAACAUUUCUUCACUAUGGAGUAUUAUCAAGAUCAGAAACUGGAUCUCUUUCUCUGAAUCUUUGAUGCUGAAACUCCUUUGCUGAUGAUCUUUCUUCACGAUCUUCCUCACUAUGAAUGAGGUAUUACUUGCUGUGUGUGGGCACUACUCUAAUCACUAAAGGAAUUUCGAAAUAUGAAGGAAGAAGAGAGAGAGAGGGUGGCGGCCAAGGUAGAGAGAGAAAGGCUCAGGUUUUCUGAUUCAGAAGUGUAAUUUUCCUGAAGCCUUCACUAUCUAUUUAUAGCAUUCCACUAGGGUUAGGUUUGAAUUAUUUGGCAUUAAAAUAAUGAAAAUAUCAGUUUAAAAUGCCUACAAAAGUGGUCGGCCAUGGCUUAUUGGGUUUGGGCCUUGCUUUUUGCAAUUUUGCAAUUUUAACACUUUUGUAUCUGAUUUUCUCAAAAACGUCAAUUUUCUAAUUCUACCAUUUAAAUGUCAA
Cannabis sativa is the source of this 656-nucleotide long non-coding RNA. RefSeq lists it as uncharacterized. The transcript has 2 exons. Lineage: Eukaryota; Viridiplantae; Streptophyta; Magnoliopsida; Rosales; Cannabaceae. The record is from RefSeq and is a predicted model, not a curated record.